This 891-nucleotide ribosomal RNA is filed under the name Bacillus subtilis. RNAcentral's name for it is "bacterial SSU rRNA". It matches the Rfam family "Bacterial small subunit ribosomal RNA", at positions 82 to 956 of the family's 1533-position model. Lineage: Bacteria; Bacillati; Bacillota; Bacilli; Caryophanales; Bacillaceae. The record is from RNAcentral.
UCCCUGAAUGUUAGCGGCGGACGGGUGAGUAACACGUGGGUAACCUGCCUGUAAGACUGGGAUAACUCCGGGAAACCGGGGCUAAUACCGGAUGGUUGUUUGAACCGCAUGGUUCAAACAUAAAAGGUGGCUUCGGCUACCACUUACAGAUGGACCCGCGGCGCAUUAGCUAGUUGGUGAGGUAACGGCUCACCAAGGCAACGAUGCGUAGCCGACCUGAGAGGGUGAUCGGCCACACUGGGACUGAGACACGGCCCAGACUCCUACGGGAGGCAGCAGUAGGGAAUCUUCCGCAAUGGACGAAAGUCUGACGGAGCAACGCCGCGUGAGUGAUGAAGGUUUUCGGAUCGUAAAGCUCUGUUGUUAGGGAAGAACAAGUACCGUUCGAAUAGGGCGGUACCUUGACGGUACCUAACCAGAAAGCCACGGCUAACUACGUGCCAGCAGCCGCGGUAAUACGUAGGUGGCAAGCGUUGUCCGGAAUUAUUGGGCGUAAAGGGCUCGCAGGCGGUUUCUUAAGUCUGAUGUGAAAGCCCCCGGCUCAACCGGGGAGGGUCAUUGGAAACUGGGGAACUUGAGUGCAGAAGAGGAGAGUGGAAUUCCACGUGUAGCGGUGAAAUGCGUAGAGAUGUGGAGGAACACCAGUGGCGAAGGCGACUCUCUGGUCUGUAACUGACGCUGAGGAGCGAAAGCGUGGGGAGCGAACAGGAUUAGAUACCCUGGUAGUCCACGCCGUAAACGAUGAGUGCUAAGUGUUAGGGGGUUUCCGCCCCUUAGUGCUGCAGCUAACGCAUUAAGCACUCCGCCUGGGGGAGUACGGUCGCAAGACUGAAACUCAAAGGAAUUGACGGGGGCCCGCACAAGCGGUGGAGCAUGUGGUUUAAUUCGAAG